UGUUCAGUUUUUUAAAAUUUUUAAAGGUUUUAUUUGGUUUUCUGGAUACAAUUAUUGUGGCCUAGCAAAUAUUCUCUAUGAAAAUCUUAAAAAAUCCCACCAUUUUUAAAUAUAUUGAGCUAACACAACAUACUUAUUCUGUAAAAGGACCAUUUUACAUAAAACAACUUUUUACAAUCUCAAAAAGAGCAAUAAAGGACUUAAACUGGAAAGUAAUUUUUUUUUAAAAACCUUAAAGUAUGGUAUAUACACCAAUUAAAAAUAAUCAAAACAGAAAACCUGCUCUUCUGAAAAUUGAGAAAAGUAUGUUUUGCAUUGAAUAUCCUCAAUGAUUAUAAAUUUAAUUAUCAAUAUUUUUAUACUAUGUUAUAGAACGGUUGCAUUUGGAACAACAAGGUGCAGUUAAGAUAAAAAGCUGGCGUAGAAACAAAACUCCCAAAAAAUCACCGGAGCCUAAACGUGCACCAAACAAAAAACUAAAAUCCAAUGCCCUUCUCGAAUCAUUUUCAAUGCUAGAUUUACCUACAAGUUCGACAUCAGAUUCUAUGCCAAGUUCAAGCACUUCGCCUGUCUUACCUGAUAUAAAUAUGCGUUUAACUCAGGAAAUUACGAGUAUAGAUAGUUUAAAACAAACUGUAAAACCAUCUCGGUGUUCUAAAAAUAAAAAAAUGCCAAUACAGGCUAUGCAAACAACCGAUAAUGCAGUUGAGCUAAACAUAAAAUGUCCUCCAGUUAUUGAUCAAAAUAGUACUGAAGCUUCCAAAAUGUUUGCCAUGCCUGUGUCCAACAAUAUUUCAACAGUUACACCUAAUAUUAGCUCAAUUAUCAGUACCAGUACCAUGACUAAUCAAUCAAUCACUACUAACAAUAGAAGCCAAUCAGUUGCUAAUAUAAAUCAAUCAAUCACCUGUAACACGAGUAAACCAAUUUCUAGUACCUUUAUUAAUCAGUCAAUUGCUAGUAACAUUAAUACUGGUCAACCAAUUGUUAGUAAUAUUACUAGUCAAUCAAUUACUAGUAACAUUACUAGUCAACAAAUUGCUAAUAAUAUUGCUGGUCAAUCAAUAUCUAAUAGUUUUGGCAGUCAAUUAAUUUCUAGUAAUAUUGGUCAAUCAAUUUCUAGUAAUUUUACUAGUCAAUUAAACAGCAAUAACAUUACUAGACAAUCAUUUGCUAAUAACAUUAUAAAUAAAUCUAUGGCCAGUUCAAGUCUAAAAGUUAACACUCAAACUGUUGCCAAUAGUGGACAGAUGAUCAACAUUGCACAAACUAAAAAUAGCAAUAAUCAAACUCUUGUUGGUAACAAUAAAAUGGUUGUAAACAGCAUUAGCUCAAAUGUAUGUAAUUUUAAUGAUAAACAAGUACUUUCAUCUGGAGAUUUGAUAACAAUUGGUGCUAGAAAGAAAACAAAAAACGUUCAAAUUGCUCAACCAGUUAACAUCGGACAGCCAUCUGGUAUGUUGUAUUUGUAUUUUUAAUUAAAAAAUUUUUUUUAUAUUAUCAAUUUUAUCAUUUAUUUGUAUUUUAGGACCUCUAAAUUUCCAACAAGAUCAUCAUACUAUUACUAAAUCGCCUUGUAACAAAGAACCACAACAACGGCAAAUAUUAGUGUUGCAACAAAAGCGAUCUGAUCAUUCUAUUUCUAGUUCUGAACAAAAUACAACAGCUCUUAGUCAUAAUGAACCACAAUCUAUUCAUCAUCUUCUUCAACUGCAACAGCGACAUAAGUUACAAAAACAACAAGAAAUGCAACUGAAACUCUUGCAACGUAAACAAAUACAGCAGCAAACUUUGCAGCAAAACAAACAACAAGUCAUUAUAAGGAAAUCAGAUGUUGAGGAAAAAAUAGAAACUGGUGAUAGUGAACAUCCUCAAGUUAUAUUUGUAAAACAGGGUCCAAGAGGAGUUCAAACAGAGACACAACAAAUAACACAACAUCAAUUGCAACAAAUAUUAAUGAUGAGGCCACAGCAACAGAUAGGACAACAACCACAGGUUGUUAUGGUUAAACAACCGGGAAAUGAACAAAAAUCAAUUGCACUCAAGGUUUGUAUACCUAUAAUAAAUUAAUCUUGAACAUAAUUAAAUAAGUUUUCUGAAUUGAUUCUGAAGAAUAAGUAUUAAUUGUCUUCUUUUUUUCUUUUUUUUUUUUUUAACAAUGUAUGAUUUAGGAGCUAGAGUUAUAACAUAAACAAGGUUGUGAUUUGAUAUUCUAGUCAAUGUAACUUACAUUGAAAAAUAUUUAAACAAACAUAACACAUUUUUUAGUUAAAAAAAUAAAACAAGUAGAUUACAUAAAAUAUUAUUUUAUACUAUUUGUGAACAUAUUAAUUGUAAUAAAAAAUGUAUUUUUAGUAUUUUAUUUGUCAAUAUUGGAAUCGGUAAAUAAAAUAUAUGAUUGCUUAUAGUUCAUUAUUAUUAAAAAUUUUGACUAUAUAUUUUUAAUACCUAUAAAAUUAUAGUAUUGCAUUAUUUAUAUUCUAGCCAAUACUGACAUCACUUCGUGGUACGCAAAUUCAACCAAAUUCACCAAAUUCUACUAAUUUGUUGUUACAAACAAAACAAACUGGUCAAAAUGUACAACGAAGAAUUACCAAACCAAUUGUUGGCAAGCUCAUGACUAAUCAAAGAACUCAGUUACCAGUUGACACUGUUCUUACAAAUAGAAAAUUACCUGUUGUUUCUCAAGGUUGGUGAUUUAAGAAUUGUUGUCAAUUUAUAAUUUUAAUUGUAUUUAUUAUUUAGGAACAUCAUUACGAAUUUCUGGUGUACAAACAUCAAAGAGUGGUCAACCACAGUAUACAGUUGUUACUGUUGCUCAACCAAAACUUAUGCCAUCAAAUCAAUUAAAUAUUGGACAGGUAAUUAUGGUAAAUUCCUUUUAAACUUAUAUAAAUACCUUUAUUUUUAUAGCAAACACCUUCUCGUUUAUCGGCUAUAAAUGAUCGUUUAAAAUCUAGUGAAACCAACCAACCACAAACUCUACGUGUAGUUCAGUCACAAAUUGCCGGAAAACCUUUAUUAGUGACAAACAAAGUAAGUUAAUAUAGAGUUCUCUAAAAGUAUUGUUAAGUAUAAUUAAUGUUCAUAGGCACAAAUUUCAUCUGGUCAUACUGGUAUAUCAACAUCUCCUAACAUAGUAUCAUCAACUGUAGUGAAUUCUACAGCUAACACUUACACUGUACUGCAACAAGGCUCUCAGCAAAUACUUGUACCGGCAAAUUCGUUAAAGUCUAUUCAAGGUUUAAAAGUUAUACCACUAUCGCAACAUAGCGUUAAAGGUUUGUCAGGUUAUUCUUUUACUUGUAUUAGUUUGCAUAUUUUUGAAGUUAAAAAUGCAUUAUAGGACGUUCUCAAAUGUAUGCUCGAAUUGUAAAUCCUGAUAAUGUGAGGCCUGUGUUCAUUCAACAACCACCCAAUCAAGAUAGUAACCCAGGACCGAGUGAAUCAAAUACUUAACCCCUGAGAUAUUAGUUCCUUAUUUAUUAUUAUUUAUAUUUAUACAGUAUAUACGGUCGUUAUGCAAUUGUAAUGACUUAACUUUAUAAACCAUAAGGUUUAAUAUAACUCAAGUCUACAUAAUGUGUGUAGUCUGAUCGUUACCUACUUUUUUGUUUUAUAUUUAUAUCCUUUUUAUUUGCUUCAAUAAACUUUACUGAGAGGAUUUAUUGUUGUUUAAAGACUUGUAUAGUUAAGGAAUAUUAAGUUUUGUAAAAUAUUAGGACUUUUUCUGUUAUCUGUCACUGUUUUUCAAAAUAAUAUUUCUUAUUUUUUUACUAUUUAAAAACAUAUACAAACUUUCUUCUAUUUUAAAAAGAAUUAUAGACUUGAGUGAAAAAACAUAUAAUACACUAUUUAAUAAUAAGUAGUACAGAUAAACAAAGGGACAUUUUUUUUUAAGAUGCGAGGACACCAAAGAUUGAAUAUUUCUUCAACAGUGGGUGUAAGAUAUGCAUUUGCCAUUCUUCUAGCAAAUGAUUUCUGUUAGUUUUUCAUCUCAGAAUAAUUUUCAAUUAUUUUAACUUAAACAAAUUAAGUAUGCACAUCGAGUGAUUAGAAAUAUAUCUAAAGAAUGCCUCACUUGUAUCCUACUUAUAUUGAAAUAUAUUAACACAUUAAAAGGAUACUUAAUAUUUAAGGGGUUGUUUAUAGAAAAUUAAAUAAUUUUGCUAAACAUUUUCGAAAAAUUAAAAUUUAUUACCUGAAAAAUAUUCAAAUUUACUUUCAAAUACUUUAAUAUAAAUGUAUUUUUUACUGUUUAUGUUUUACUGUGUAAUCUUCAAAACCAUGUUAACUUUAAACAGAAAACAGUACCCUUCAAGUGAUUUUAGGGUUUUUUAAGAUAAAAAUUGUCUUUAUUGUUGAUUGAUAAUAUAUUGAUUUUCAAUUAACUUGAAUGUGAAAGUAGAUAUUCAAGAAUAAAAAAUUCCUUAGAUUAAGUGGUGCUCUUUAAUAUUUUCAAGUUCAAAAACACAUGCCAACAUCCUCUUCACAUAUUUAACAAUCAUUUCCUGAUCUUUGUUUAUCUGUCAAUGUGUCAUCAAACAAUAUAUUAUAAAACCAAAAUGGAUGUAUAUAGAAAUACUAUAUUUAAUAAUAUAAUUAAUCUAAUAUAAAUUUUUUACUAUAAUUAAAUAGGCACUUACAUGAGGUUAUUUAGAGACGUCAAUCGAAAAGUUCAUUUAUCUUAAAGAAUAUUAAAUAAAUGGAAUUUUACACACUCAAAUUAAUUUUAUACUAUUUAGGUACCCAACAUUUUGGUUUUUUAUUCUAGAAUAAUAAAUAUUAAAAUAGAAGAAUUUAAAUUAUCUGUGUAAUACAUGUUUUUAGAUAGUUAAAGAAUAAUAAAAAAAAAUAAAAAAAUAUUUUAAUAUUUUUUUACAUCUAUACCUGUUUUAACCAACGUGUUUAUAAAAAUAAAUGUUUGAAUAAUAAUUAUAGCAUAUAAACUAAUUUUAUACCAUGCAUUUUUAAAUUUUAUUUUAAGGUUAUUUUUAUUUGAUUUAAAG
RNAcentral lists this long non-coding RNA (5009 nucleotides) under Cinara cedri. The record is from RNAcentral. Lineage: Eukaryota; Metazoa; Arthropoda; Insecta; Hemiptera; Aphididae.